Lynx canadensis (Canada lynx) is the source of this 303-nucleotide long non-coding RNA. RefSeq lists it as uncharacterized. The transcript is spliced from 3 exons. NCBI's taxonomy places the organism in Eukaryota, Metazoa, Chordata, Mammalia, Carnivora, Felidae. The record is from RefSeq and is a predicted model, not a curated record.
UGGGGCGAAAGCGGCCCAGAGCGGCAGGAGGUGUGAAGGCUUUAUUCCUUCACCUCACUUGUAUUCACUGGGAGCCCGUUAUGUGUCGAGAUCUGAGAGCGAAGGCUUCAUUUUACAGGUCUCUCCAAAAGAAAUGGAAAAAGGCUCAAAGUGAAAUGGUUUACCCAAGGCCACAGAAAAGGUUGAUGGCAGAGGAAGGAGAAUUACUUAAGCUUUCCUAAUUCCUACCUGAGCUCUUCACCCGACCCCCACCCUUACCACUCAAUACCUGCCCAAGUGGAGUUGCCUCAUGGUCACUGUACC